Poecile atricapillus (Black-capped chickadee) is the source of this 1892-nucleotide RNA transcript. It is a transcript of the gene named HGH1 homolog, with no coding region annotated. Lineage: Eukaryota; Metazoa; Chordata; Aves; Passeriformes; Paridae. The record is from RefSeq and is a predicted model, not a curated record. The transcript has 8 exons.
UCAAUCACCCCAGCGCGGCCAUAAUGGCGGAGACGAUGGCGGAGCCCAAGAGCGAGGAGGCGGCGGCGGCCGCGGCUCUGUCGGAGCUGACGGCGCUGCUCUCCCCGUCCUCCCCCGCCGCUCCCGCCGCGGCCGAAGCCGCUCUGGCCCUUUCCGGCAGCGCCUCGGGCCGGGCGAUGCUGGCGGGACACCCCGAGGCCUUAGCGGCCUUGGCAGCCUCGGCCUCGCGUGGAUGCGAGGCCGCUUUGGGCGCUUUGGUGAACGCGUCCUCCGAGGCCGCGGCGCUGGAGCCGCUCCUGGCCGCGCUCCCUUCUCUGGUGCCGCUGCUGGCGAGCUCCGGAGGGGCCUGCGGGGUUUUGGCCAAUCUGUGCCGGGCUCCCGGAGCGGGGCCGGCCGUGCUGAGGGCGCUGGGAGCCGGAGCUCAGGCGCUGCUGCCGGCCCUGAGCGCGGAGCCGCCGCCGGAGGAACUCGGGGCGCUGCUCUGGAACCUGAGCCGGGACAGGAUGGGAAGGGAGAUGCUGAUGGAGAGAUCAGGCGGGAAUCAUCCCAGGCGCGCGGUGAGACGGAUCCUGGAGCUGCUGAGGGACCCGGAACGCGCGGAGCUGCGGCGAGGAGCGGCCGGAGCCCUGCGGAACUGCUGCUUCCAACACGAGCACCACGAGUGGCUGCUGAGCUCCGAGGUUGACGCGCUCCCGUUCCUGCUGCUCCCGCUCGCCGCAUCCCAGGAAUUGCCUCCGGAAGAGACGGAACAGCUUCCCGUGGAUUUGCAGUUCCUGCCUCCGGAGCAUCGCCGGGAAGAGGAUCCGGAGAUCCGGAAAAUGCUCCUGGAAACGCUGAUGCUGCUCUCGGCCACCAAAGCCGGGCGGUCCCACCUGAGGUCCAACGGUUCCUACCUGGUUCUCCGUGAGCUCCACCAGCAGGAGAAGAACCCCGAGGUCCUCAGCGCCUGCCAGAAGCUCAUUGAGGUGCUGAUCGCGGACGAGCCCGAGGAGGGCAUGGAGAACCUCCUGGAGGUGACAAUUCCUGAGGAGCUGGAGAGGAGGUUCAAGGAGGAGGAUGAGGAGGAGGAGAGGAGGAGGAAGGAACGGGAACGGGAAGAGGAGGAGACGUCGAGGUGACGUCGGAACGGCGCCGGAGGGGACAAUGGGGCCACCAAGAGCCACCACGGGGACCAUGGGAUGGUCCUGAAGACCAUGGGGCCACCAAAAGCCACCAUGGGGACAAUGGGAUGGCCUUGGAGACCUUGGGGCCACCAAAAAGCACCACGGGGACAAUGGUGUGGUCCUGAAGGUCCUUCAUGGUGACCAUGGGAUGGCCUUGGGGACAAUGGGGCGACCAAAAGCCACCACGGGGACAAUGGGGUGUACUUGGGGACAAUGGGGCCACCAAAAGCCACCAGGGUGACCAUGGGAUGUUUUUGGGGACCAUGGGGCCAUCAAAAGCCACCACGGGGACCAUGGGAUGUUCUUGGAGACCAUGGGGCCACUAAAAGCCACCAUGGAGACAAUGGGAUGUUCUUGGGGACAAUGGAGCCACCAAAAGCCACCAGGGUGACAAUGGGGUGGUUCUGAAGGUCUUUCAUGGUGACAAUGAGAUGUUCCUGAGGGUCCAUCGUGGUGACAAUGGGGUGGUGGCACUAAAAGCCACCACGGUGACAAUGGGGUGGUCCUAAAGGUUGUUCAUGGUGACAACGGGAUGUCCCCAAGGGUUCUUCAUGGUGACGAUGGGGUGUCCUCAAGGAGCCAUCUUGGGGACAAUGAGAUGUUCCUGAAGGUCCACCGUGGUGACAAUGAGAUGUUCUUGAGGAACCAUCAUGGCGACAAUGAGAUGUCCCCAAAAGCCACCCCGGUGUCCAUGGGAUGUCCCCAAGGGUCCUUCAUGGUGACAAUGGG